GGUCCAAAUUUGAAGUGGAGUAGAUUGGUAGUAUCAGCUGACCCUACUAAUCCACUGUGUUUCAAAUUUGAGUCC
This 75-nucleotide microRNA precursor is filed under the name Haemonchus placei. RNAcentral describes it as "mir-5928 microRNA precursor family". It matches the Rfam family "mir-5928 microRNA precursor family". Lineage: Eukaryota; Metazoa; Nematoda; Chromadorea; Rhabditida; Trichostrongylidae. The record is from Rfam by way of RNAcentral.